RNAcentral lists this long non-coding RNA (2111 nucleotides) under Ananas comosus (pineapple). RNAcentral describes it as "long non-coding RNA (ACOM_LNC011868)". The record is from RNAcentral. Lineage: Eukaryota; Viridiplantae; Streptophyta; Magnoliopsida; Poales; Bromeliaceae.
UGUGCAUGAGUAUAGUAGUGAUCAAGUGAACGGAUAAGUGCAGAGACCCGUACAUGCUUGUGUUGUGGAUGUGUAGUACCUGCAUGUGUGUGGCACUGUAGUGCCUGUUAGAGCAGGUAGUGAAUCUGAUGGCACUAGCGAAUCGCUGGUGAGAGCCUGUGAAUAAAAGUGAGACUCGUAGUAGAAAUGGUAGUAGCUGACCAACUCUCAAAGGAAUGCGAGUUGCUGAUUGCGAGAGUCUAGUCGCAAUGUCCGUGGAACUCGUGUAAGACCGAGUAUCUUGUAGGUUGUUCUAGUAGAUCGAACAGUGAAAGUGGAGUCACUGUUGCGUCUGGUACGUGCACGUGGACCUAACAAUACCUCGAAUUGAGGUCAAUGGGUCGUGCUCGUGUAGUUGAGUGCAUAGGCAAGAGUUGCCUGAUGCUAGACUUAAUAUAGCACGCGAUAGAGUCUUGUAGAACGCUCGAGUGUUGGUGCUCAUAGAGUGCAGAUUUGUUUCAGCCGUGAGUGUAUUGGCAGUAGCACUUUAGCGUUGCUAAGUGUGAAGCGUGCCAGAGGUCACUCGUAGGGCUGGUGGCUCGCACUAGGUGCGUAGGAGCCGAUAGUGGUAUGUGUGCUCGAUAGAGAGUGUCGGGUGAGACGACGUUUGCGGGUAGUGCUUGGCGACGAUCCGUGCCUGGACCACUUGUGGACUGUGGAGCCUGGACCCAUUGGGUAGGCGCAGUCAGCUGUGAGAGACAGCGGCCCGAUACCUGCAGGUAGGGCGGAAAGUUUUGGUCAGGACGGUAGUCCGAGCAUAGACCCGAGUACGUGGAAUGCCACGUGGUGGAUCGUGAAAUCGGUAAUGCACUAAGAGUGCGGUUGUGACCCAACCCGAGGACUUGGCGUGGUUUGGGGUCUUAGUUGCUCCUGGUUGGAGUAUGUGUGAAUUCUCCAAUGAGAAUUUCGCCCAAUAAUGAUAAUUGGGUCUCCGCUUGUGCGCGAGAGACGUUGAGUUAAGUUGAACAGAUUUGAGGUAAUUGAGACAAAUAGUUUACCCAUGUGCAUGUCCAAGUGAAGGAUAGUGUAUUGGGACUGUGAGAGCGAAGGCUCGGUCCUAUGGAUUAAUGAGUCAGAAUUGCUAAAAUAAGCAUCGAUGACGAAUUGAGAUUGGAAAUGCGAACAAAGUACUCGUAGAGACUGAUUUGGAGAAAUCAGUAUACUCUGGAAUGAAGUUGAGAAGCUUUGGAAUAGUGUUGGAAUUUAUCUCCAUCCGUUAAGCAAUGAGGAGUAAUAAGUAUCUAAGUUUCUCGGACGAAACUUUUGUUAACGGGAGGAGAAUGUAACAUAUGGAAACUUGGAAUUGCGAUGUCAACUUUGACCUAGAGGGUCAAAGUGACGAUUGAACUAGUUGGACAGAAUCCCCGAGUGAUUUGUGAUGCGUGUGAAUGAAUUCUGGAGAUAAAUAAGUGUUUCGGCGCAAAUUGGGCGCGAAACGAAAUGUAAAGAGAGUAAAGAGAAUUUUCAGAUUUCCGACGCUAACUUUGAUUAAAAGAAGUAAAGUAAGGCGUAAGGAUAAAUUGUGAUAUCUCCGAAUCAAUUGUGAAGUUUUGGAAAAGCCAAGGGUGUGCUUUCAAAGGGUUUUGAAGUGUUCAGUGCGAAGUGGUAGUGCAAAAAGGAGAAAUUUCUGCCGUGUAAUGAAAUUGGAGCCGAUUCUAUUGCUAAUUCGGCUCAAAUAAUGUCAAAAUGAAAAGGAAUUGCUUCCAAAUUAAAUUGGUAGCUUAUGAAGGUCCCUUGGUAUAUUUUGGAAGUGUUUGGGUGAAAUCAGAGCGAAAACAGAAAAUUUAAAAUUUUCUGUAAAGAACGGGACUGAGAAAAUUAGCAGAAAAUGCACAGUGUCAGAAAAUUAUGAAAAUUGGCAGAGAUGUCAGGAACAUUUUUAUGAGGCUAUAUUUGAAGUUUCAGAUUUUUCUGACACCUGUAGAGAGAGAAAUAGCAUUUGGAAGUUAUCUGAUAAAGAUUACAGUUCGGGACAGUUCGCAGUGACCAAACGGGGUCGAAACUGAAAUAUUAAAAUUUCAGUGGACUUGUUAAGUAAAAACGAACAUUCCUGUCAAAUUUGAGCUCAAUCG